GGGAGUGACUUGGCUUCGACAGGAGCAGGCGGGCUUUGGUUGCAUGCCGCCCUGAAUAUGGCGCAAAACUUUUUACAAACAAUAAACGUAAACAAUACAAAUUACGCUCCUGCUUACGCUAAAAUCGCGUAAGUAAUGAAGGAGGCUUCGUCCUGUGGAUGCUAUCUAAGCAGAUCUGACGAGGCUUACCCAAUUAGAUAGCUUUGAAGUGCAGAGUGACUGAAUGUACUUUGAGAUUUAAGUCUUAGUCUAGGUAAAGUUUCGGGAACUGUACGAUACUUAGAUGAAGUUUAACAGGUCCGCUAAGCAUGUAGACGCCAUCGUUGGCUUGUUUUUGGACAGGGGUUCAAUUCCCCUCACUUCCACCA
Molecule: transfer-messenger RNA, 368 nt
Filed under: Campylobacteraceae bacterium
Lineage: Bacteria; Pseudomonadati; Campylobacterota; Epsilonproteobacteria; Campylobacterales; Campylobacteraceae
Rfam family: transfer-messenger RNA
About the family: Bacterial tmRNA, also known as 10Sa RNA or SsrA, is named for its dual tRNA and mRNA-like properties.
Source: RNAcentral